Molecule: ribosomal RNA, 393 nt
Filed under: uncultured soil bacterium
Lineage: Bacteria
Description: bacterial SSU rRNA
Rfam family: Bacterial small subunit ribosomal RNA
Source: RNAcentral
CCACCUUUGACAUGUACGGAACUCGCCAGAGAUGGCUUGGUGCUCGAAAGAGAACCGUAACACAGGUGCUGCAUGGCUGUCGUCAGCUCGUGUCGUGAGAUGUUGGGUUAAGUCCCGCAACGAGCGCAACCCUUGUCAUUAGUUGCUACAUUCAGUUGGGCACUCUAAUGAGACUGCCGGUGACAAACCGGAGGAAGGUGGGGAUGACGUCAAGUCCUCAUGGCCCUUAUAGGUGGGGCUACACACGUCAUACAAUGGCUGGUACAAAGGGUUGCCAACCCGCGAGGGGGAGCUAAUCCCAUAAAACCAGUCGUAGUCCGGAUCGCAGUCUGCAACUCGACUGCGUGAAGUCGGAAUCGCUAGUAAUCGUGGAUCAGAAUGUCACGGUGAAUA